GCCAUCCUUUUCUUGGGGUUGUGCUACUGUCCAAUGAACAUAUAGUGAGGACAGUACUGCUAAAACCUAAAAAAAACCCCACAAAUCAAAGGGGACAUCUGUAAUACUUUCAACA
Small nuclear RNA from Pipistrellus kuhlii (Kuhl's pipistrelle), 115 nucleotides. RefSeq annotates it as U4atac minor spliceosomal RNA. Lineage: Eukaryota; Metazoa; Chordata; Mammalia; Chiroptera; Vespertilionidae. The record is from RefSeq and is a predicted model, not a curated record. The transcript has a single exon.